Molecule: ribosomal RNA, 253 nt
Filed under: uncultured bacterium
Lineage: Bacteria
Description: partial 16S ribosomal RNA
Rfam family: Bacterial small subunit ribosomal RNA
Source: RNAcentral
UACGUAGGGCGCAAGCGUUGUCCGGAUUUAUUGGGCGUAAAGAGCUCGUAGGCGGUUUGUCGCGUCUUCCGUGAAAACUGGGGGCUUAACUUCCAGCUUGCGGUGGAUACGGGCUGACUGGAGUGCGGCAGGGGAGACUGGAAUUCCUGGUGUAGCGGUGAAAUGCGCAGAUAUCAGGAGGAACACCGGUGGCGAAGGCGGAUCUCUGGGCCAUUACUGACGCUGAGGAGCGAAAGCGUGGGGAGCGAACAGG